RNAcentral lists this ribosomal RNA (2787 nucleotides) under Escherichia coli. RNAcentral's name for it is "bacterial LSU rRNA". It matches the Rfam family "Bacterial large subunit ribosomal RNA". The record is from RNAcentral. Lineage: Bacteria; Pseudomonadati; Pseudomonadota; Gammaproteobacteria; Enterobacterales; Enterobacteriaceae.
AGCGUACACGGUGGAUGCCCUGGCAGUCAGAGGCGAUGAAGGACGUGCUAAUCUGCGAUAAGCGUCGGUAAGGUGAUAUGAACCGUUAUAACCGGCGAUUUCCGAAUGGGGAAACCCAGUGUGUUUCGACACACUAUCAUUAACUGAAUCCAUAGGUUAAUGAGGCGAACCGGGGGAACUGAAACAUCUAAGUACCCCGAGGAAAAGAAAUCAACCGAGAUUCCCCCAGUAGCGGCGAGCGAACGGGGAGCAGCCCAGAGCCUGAAUCAGUGUGUGUGUUAGUGGAAGCGUCUGGAAAGGCGCGCGAUACAGGGUGACAGCCCCGUACACAAAAAUGCACAUGCUGUGAGCUCGAUGAGUAGGGCGGGACACGUGGUAUCCUGUCUGAAUAUGGGGGGACCAUCCUCCAAGGCUAAAUACUCCUGACUGACCGAUAGUGAACCAGUACCGUGAGGGAAAGGCGAAAAGAACCCCGGCGAGGGGAGUGAAAAAGAACCUGAAACCGUGUACGUACAAGCAGUGGGAGCACGCUUAGGCGUGUGACUGCGUACCUUUUGUAUAAUGGGUCAGCGACUUAUAUUCUGUAGCAAGGUUAACCGAAUAGGGGAGCCGAAGGGAAACCGAGUCUUAACUGGGCGUUAAGUUGCAGGGUAUAGACCCGAAACCCGGUGAUCUAGCCAUGGGCAGGUUGAAGGUUGGGUAACACUAACUGGAGGACCGAACCGACUAAUGUUGAAAAAUUAGCGGAUGACUUGUGGCUGGGGGUGAAAGGCCAAUCAAACCGGGAGAUAGCUGGUUCUCCCCGAAAGCUAUUUAGGUAGCGCCUCGUGAAUUCAUCUCCGGGGGUAGAGCACUGUUUCGGCAAGGGGGUCAUCCCGACUUACCAACCCGAUGCAAACUGCGAAUACCGGAGAAUGUUAUCACGGGAGACACACGGCGGGUGCUAACGUCCGUCGUGAAGAGGGAAACAACCCAGACCGCCAGCUAAGGUCCCAAAGUCAUGGUUAAGUGGGAAACGAUGUGGGAAGGCCCAGACAGCCAGGAUGUUGGCUUAGAAGCAGCCAUCAUUUAAAGAAAGCGUAAUAGCUCACUGGUCGAGUCGGCCUGCGCGGAAGAUGUAACGGGGCUAAACCAUGCACCGAAGCUGCGGCAGCGACGCUGAUGCGUUGUUGGGUAGGGGAGCGUUCUGUAAGCCUGUGAAGGUGUGCUGUGAGGCAUGCUGGAGGUAUCAGAAGUGCGAAUGCUGACAUAAGUAACGAUAAAGCGGGUGAAAAGCCCGCUCGCCGGAAGACCAAGGGUUCCUGUCCAACGUUAAUCGGGGCAGGGUGAGUCGACCCCUAAGGCGAGGCCGAAAGGCGUAGUCGAUGGGAAACAGGUUAAUAUUCCUGUACUUGGUGUUACUGCGAAGGGGGGACGGAGAAGGCUAUGUUGGCCGGGCGACGGUUGUCCCGGUUUAAGCGUGUAGGCUGGUUUUCCAGGCAAAUCCGGAAAAUCAAGGCUGAGGCGUGAUGACGAGGCACUACGGUGCUGAAGCAACAAAUGCCCUGCUUCCAGGAAAAGCCUCUAAGCAUCAGGUAACAUCAAAUCGUACCCCAAACCGACACAGGUGGUCAGGUAGAGAAUACCAAGGCGCUUGAGAGAACUCGGGUGAAGGAACUAGGCAAAAUGGUGCCGUAACUUCGGGAGAAGGCACGCUGAUAUGUAGGUGAAGUCCCUCGCGGAUGGAGCUGAAAUCAGUCGAAGAUACCAGCUGGCUGCAACUGUUUAUUAAAAACACAGCACUGUGCAAACACGAAAGUGGACGUAUACGGUGUGACGCCUGCCCGGUGCCGGAAGGUUAAUUGAUGGGGUCAGCGCAAGCGAAGCUCUUGAUCGAAGCCCCGGUAAACGGCGGCCGUAACUAUAACGGUCCUAAGGUAGCGAAAUUCCUUGUCGGGUAAGUUCCGACCUGCACGAAUGGCGUAAUGAUGGCCAGGCUGUCUCCACCCGAGACUCAGUGAAAUUGAACUCGCUGUGAAGAUGCAGUGUACCCGCGGCAAGACGGAAAGACCCCGUGAACCUUUACUAUAGCUUGACACUGAACAUUGAGCCUUGAUGUGUAGGAUAGGUGGGAGGCUUUGAAGUGUGGACGCCAGUCUGCAUGGAGCCGACCUUGAAAUACCACCCUUUAAUGUUUGAUGUUCUAACGUUGACCCGUAAUCCGGGUUGCGGACAGUGUCUGGUGGGUAGUUUGACUGGGGCGGUCUCCUCCUAAAGAGUAACGGAGGAGCACGAAGGUUGGCUAAUCCUGGUCGGACAUCAGGAGGUUAGUGCAAUGGCAUAAGCCAGCUUGACUGCGAGCGUGACGGCGCGAGCAGGUGCGAAAGCAGGUCAUAGUGAUCCGGUGGUUCUGAAUGGAAGGGCCAUCGCUCAACGGAUAAAAGGUACUCCGGGGAUAACAGGCUGAUACCGCCCAAGAGUUCAUAUCGACGGCGGUGUUUGGCACCUCGAUGUCGGCUCAUCACAUCCUGGGGCUGAAGUAGGUCCCAAGGGUAUGGCUGUUCGCCAUUUAAAGUGGUACGCGAGCUGGGUUUAGAACGUCGUGAGACAGUUCGGUCCCUAUCUGCCGUGGGCGCUGGAGAACUGAGGGGGGCUGCUCCUAGUACGAGAGGACCGGAGUGGACGCAUCACUGGUGUUCGGGUUGUCAUGCCAAUGGCACUGCCCGGUAGCUAAAUGCGGAAGAGAUAAGUGCUGAAAGCAUCUAAGCACGAAACUUGCCCCGAGAUGAGUUCUCCCUGACUCCUUGA